This 74-nucleotide transfer RNA is filed under the name Acidobacteriota bacterium. RNAcentral's name for it is "tRNA-Arg". It matches the Rfam family "tRNA". From Rfam's summary of the family: Transfer RNA (tRNA) molecules are approximately 80 nucleotides in length. Their secondary structure includes four short double-helical elements and three loops (D, anti-codon, and T loops). RNAcentral also lists the same sequence under 4 other names. The record is from RNAcentral. Lineage: Bacteria; Pseudomonadati; Acidobacteriota.
GCCCGCGUAGCUCAGUUGGAUAGAGCGGCGGUUUCCUAAACCGCAGGUCACAGGUUCGAAUCCUGUCGCGGGUA